GGAGAGAUGGCCGAGUGGUUGAUAGCUCCGGUCUUGAAAACCGGUAUAGUUUGAAACAAAGAACUAUCGAGGGUUCGAAUCCCUCUCUCUCCU
This 93-nucleotide transfer RNA is filed under the name Begonia ankaranensis. Its description in RNAcentral is "tRNA-Ser". It matches the Rfam family "tRNA". From Rfam's summary of the family: Transfer RNA (tRNA) molecules are approximately 80 nucleotides in length. Their secondary structure includes four short double-helical elements and three loops (D, anti-codon, and T loops). The record is from RNAcentral. Lineage: Eukaryota; Viridiplantae; Streptophyta; Magnoliopsida; Cucurbitales; Begoniaceae. RNAcentral also lists the same sequence under 8 other names.